AUGGAAACGGAUAGAGUUAACAAAACUUAUCGGUAUUCAACCAAUCAAUUUAGCAAUCAUAAUUCAUUUCAUUAUUCAUUAAUAAUUUUUUUUUUUUUAUUAAUGAAUAAAAUGAUAUUAAUGCUAAAUUAG
This 132-nucleotide small RNA is filed under the name Brugia malayi. RNAcentral's name for it is "sRNA Bm28". Lineage: Eukaryota; Metazoa; Nematoda; Chromadorea; Rhabditida; Onchocercidae. The record is from RNAcentral.